CCGAGUUUACAACUCCCAACCCCUGUGAACAUACCACUUGUUGCCUCGGCGGAUCAGCCCGCUCCCGGUAAAACGGGACGGCCCGCCAGAGGACCCCUAAACUCUGUUUCUAUAUGUAACUUCUGAGUAAAACCAUAAAUAAAUCAA
RNAcentral lists this unclassified non-coding RNA (147 nucleotides) under soil metagenome. Its description in RNAcentral is "partial internal transcribed spacer 1". The record is from RNAcentral.